RNAcentral lists this ribosomal RNA (680 nucleotides) under Micromonospora echinospora. RNAcentral's name for it is "bacterial SSU rRNA". It matches the Rfam family "Bacterial small subunit ribosomal RNA", at positions 97 to 792 of the family's 1533-position model. The record is from RNAcentral. Lineage: Bacteria; Bacillati; Actinomycetota; Actinomycetes; Micromonosporales; Micromonosporaceae.
GGCGAACGGGUGAGUAACACGUGAGCAACCUGCCCUAGGCUUUGGGAUAACCCCGGGAAACCGGGGCUAAUACCGAAUAUGACCUUUGACCGCAUGGUCUUUGGUGGAAAGUUUUUCGGCCUGGGAUGGGCUCGCGGCCUAUCAGCUUGUUGGUGGGGUGAUGGCCUACCAAGGCGACGACGGGUAGCCGGCCUGAGAGGGCGACCGGCCACACUGGGACUGAGACACGGCCCAGACUCCUACGGGAGGCAGCAGUGGGGAAUAUUGCACAAUGGGCGGAAGCCUGAUGCAGCGACGCCGCGUGAGGGAUGACGGCCUUCGGGUUGUAAACCUCUUUCAGCAGGGACGAAGCGUAAGUGACGGUACCUGCAGAAGAAGCGCCGGCCAACUACGUGCCAGCAGCCGCGGUAAGACGUAGGGCGCGAGCGUUGUCCGGAUUUAUUGGGCGUAAAGAGCUCGUAGGCGGCUUGUCGCGUCGACUGUGAAAACCCGCAGCUCAACUGCGGGCCUGCAGUCGAUACGGGCAGGCUAGAGUUCGGUAGGGGAGACUGGAAUUCCUGGUGUAGCGGUGAAAUGCGCAGAUAUCAGGAGGAACACCGGUGGCGAAGGCGGGUCUCUGGGCCGAUACUGACGCUGAGGAGCGAAAGCGUGGGGAGCGAACAGGAUUAGAUACCCUGGUA